This 696-nucleotide ribosomal RNA is filed under the name Micrococcus luteus. RNAcentral describes it as "bacterial SSU rRNA". It matches the Rfam family "Bacterial small subunit ribosomal RNA", at positions 94 to 806 of the family's 1533-position model. Lineage: Bacteria; Bacillati; Actinomycetota; Actinomycetes; Micrococcales; Micrococcaceae. The record is from RNAcentral.
AGUGGCGAACGGGUGAGUAACACGUGAGAACCUGCCCUUAACUCUGGGAUAAGCCUGGGAAACUGGGUCUAAUACCGGAUAGGAGCGCCUACCGCAUGGUGGGUGUUGGAAAGAUUAUCGGUUUUGGAUGGACUCGCGGCCUAUCAGCUUGUUGGUGAGGUAAUGGCUCACCAAGGCGACGACGGGUAGCCGGCCUGAGAGGGUGACCGGCCACACUGGGACUGAGACACGGCCCAGACUCCUACGGGAGGCAGCAGUGGGGAAUAUUGCACAAUGGGCGCAAGCCUGAUGCAGCGACGCCGCGUGAGGGAUGACGGCCUUCGGGUUGUAAACCUCUUUCAGUAGGGAAGAAGCGAAAGUGACGGUACCUGCAGAAGAAGCACCGGCUAACUACGUGCCAGCAGCCGCGGUAAUACGUAGGGUGCGAGCGUUAUCCGGAAUUAUUGGGCGUAAAGAGCUCGUAGGCGGUUUGUCGCGUCUGUCGUGAAAGUCCGGGGCUUAACCCCGGAUCUGCGGUGGGUACGGGCAGACUAGAGUGCAGUAGGGGAGACUGGAAUUCCUGGUGUAGCGGUGGAAUGCGCAGAUAUCAGGAGGAACACCGAUGGCGAAGGCAGGUCUCUGGGCUGUAACUGACGCUGAGGAGCGAAAGCAUGGGGAGCGAACAGGAUUAGAUACCCUGGUAGUCCAUGCCGUAAA